This 253-nucleotide ribosomal RNA is filed under the name uncultured bacterium. Its description in RNAcentral is "partial 16S ribosomal RNA". It matches the Rfam family "Bacterial small subunit ribosomal RNA", at positions 524 to 776 of the family's 1533-position model. The record is from RNAcentral.
UACGUAGGUGGCAAGCGUUGUCCGGAAUUAUUGGGCGUAAAGCGCGCGCAGGCGGUCCUUUAAGUCUGAUGUGAAAGCCCACGGCUCAACCGUGGAGGGUCAUUGGAAACUGGGGGACUUGAGUGCAGAAGAGGAGAGUGGAAUUCCACGUGUAGCGGUGAAAUGCGUAGAGAUGUGGAGGAACACCAGUGGCGAAGGCGACUCUCUGGUCUGUAACUGACGCUGAGGCGCGAAAUCGUGGGGAGCAAACAGG